RNAcentral lists this long non-coding RNA (606 nucleotides) under Equus asinus (donkey). Its description in RNAcentral is "lncRNA (ENSEASG00005037636.1)". The record is from RNAcentral. Lineage: Eukaryota; Metazoa; Chordata; Mammalia; Perissodactyla; Equidae.
GAAGCGGCCAGGUGACUGGAGAAGGCGGAGGAAGGCAUUUCAGGCAAGAAAACAGCUUGAGCAAAAGCCAAGAGGAGACAAAAGAGAGCUUCAUAGAAAGGAAACUGAGGCAGUGUUGGGGCAAGAAUCCUCUUUGUGGUGAUUUCUUAGCACAGACUCAUAGAACGUUAUCCAAGAUGGGAGAGAGAACGCCAGGAAAAGGAUCCACCCAGAGCAGCACCGUGGAUGCCGUUUGGGCGCACACAUACCGCCUGGGAUCCUGUGAAAAUGCAGAUUCUGAAUCAGCAGGUCUAGGGCGGGGCCCAAGAACCUGCACUUCUGAAAAGCAAUCAAGGAGUGGACAACUCUUUGAGGGGCAAGGAUCCAGAUUCAAUGUUGUUCGACCGUUUCCAUUUUGCAGCACAUCUGUAAAUUUGCCCAAGUUACAGAAAAUAUAGUCCAAACAGAUGAUCAGGGUGGCGAAGUUGUUCUCCUUAAAACUGAAUUCCUUAAUAAAUACUGUGUUACAGAAAUAUAUGCGAGAAUAGAGCAUUUUACAGCAUCCAUUUUAAAAAAUGGUUCUCUCCUUUCUAUGGAUGCAUCAUUCAACUUCAAUGGCCACUUUGG